GACGAACGCUGGCAGCGUGCUUAACACAUGCAAGUCGAACGGAAAGGCCCUGCUUUUGUGGGGUGCUCGAGUGGCGAACGGGUGAGUAACACGUGAGUAACCUGCCCUUGACUUUGGGAUAACUUCAGGAAACUGGGGCUAAUGCCGGAUAGGAGCUCCUGCUGCAUGGUGGGGGUUGGAAAGUUUCGGCGGUUGGGGAUGGACUCGCGGCUUAUCAGCUUGUUGGUGGGGUAGUGGCUUACCAAGGCUUUGACGGGUAGCCGGCCUGAGAGGGUGACCGGCCACAUUGGGACUGAGAUACGGCCCAGACUCCUACGGGAGGCAGCAGUGGGGAAUAUUGCACAAUGGGCGGAAGCCUGAUGCAGCAACGCCGCGUGCGGGAUGACAGCCUUCGGGUUGUAAACCGCUUUCGCCUGUGACGAAGCGUGAGUGACGGUAAUGGGUAAAGAAGCACCGGCUAACUACGUG
Molecule: ribosomal RNA, 468 nt
Filed under: uncultured bacterium
Lineage: Bacteria
Description: partial 16S ribosomal RNA
Rfam family: Bacterial small subunit ribosomal RNA
Source: RNAcentral